RNAcentral lists this ribosomal RNA (34 nucleotides) under uncultured fungus. RNAcentral describes it as "partial 28S ribosomal RNA". The record is from RNAcentral. Lineage: Eukaryota; Fungi.
UUUUGACCUCAAAUCAGGUAGGACUACCCGCUGA